GAUGAACGCUGGCGGCGUGCCUAAUACAUGCAAGUCGAGCGAACGGACGAGAAGCUUGCUUUUCUGAUGUUAGCGGCGGACGGGUGAGUAACACGUGGAUAACCUACUUCUAAGACUGGGAUAACUUCGGGAAACCGGAGCUAAUACCGGAUAAUAUUUUGAACCGCAUGGAUCAAAAGUGAAAGACGGUCUUGCUGUCACUUAUAGAUGGAUCCGCGCUGCAUUAGCUAGUUGGUAAGGUAACGGCUUACCAAGGCAACGAUGCAUAGCCGACCUGAGAGGGUGAUCGGCCACACUGGAACUGAGACACGGUCCAGACUCCUACGGGAGGCAGCAGUAGGGAAUAUUCCACAAUGGGCGAAAGCCUGACGGAGCAACACCGCGUGAGUGAUGAAGGUCUUCGGAUCGUAAAGCUCUGUUAUUAGGGAAGAACAGAUGUAGGAGUAACUGUGCACAUCUUGACGGUACCUAAUCAGUAAGCCACGGCUAACUACGUG
RNAcentral lists this ribosomal RNA (497 nucleotides) under uncultured bacterium. RNAcentral's name for it is "partial 16S ribosomal RNA". It matches the Rfam family "Bacterial small subunit ribosomal RNA", at positions 28 to 507 of the family's 1533-position model. The record is from RNAcentral.